This 329-nucleotide ribosomal RNA is filed under the name uncultured eukaryote. RNAcentral's name for it is "partial 18S ribosomal RNA". It matches the Rfam family "Eukaryotic small subunit ribosomal RNA", at positions 1470 to 1796 of the family's 1831-position model. The record is from RNAcentral.
CCCUUAGAUGUCCUGGGCCGCACGCGCGCUACACUGACAUGUUCAACAAGCCUCCUAGUUCGACAGGAUUUGGGAAAUCUUUGAACGCAUGUCGUGAUAGGGAUAGAUCAUUGCAAUUAUUGAUUUUGAACGAGGAAUUCCUAGUAAACGCGAGUCAUCAGCUCGCAUUGAUUACGUCCCUGCCCUUUGUACACACCGCCCGUCGCUACUACCGAUUGAACGGUUUAGUGAGGGCCUCGGAUUGGUCUCGGCCCGCUCUUUACCGGGCGGCGCCGUUGGUCGAGAAGACGCUCGAACUUGAUCGUUUAGAGGAAGUAAAAGUCGUAACA